This 24-nucleotide non-coding RNA is filed under the name Cricetulus griseus (Chinese hamster). Lineage: Eukaryota; Metazoa; Chordata; Mammalia; Rodentia; Cricetidae. The record is from RNAcentral.
GUGGUUGUGCAUAUGCUCUUACAA